UACGUAGGGACCAAGCGUUGUUCGGAUUUACUGGGCGUAAAGGGCGCGUAGGCGGCCUAGCAAGUCACUUGUGAAAUCUCCGGGCUUAACUCGGAACUGCCAAGUGAAACUGCUGGGCUAGAGUGCAGAAGGGGCAACUGGAAUUCUCGGUGUAGCGGUGAAAUGCGUAGAUAUCGAGAGGAACACCUGCGGCGAAGGCGGGUUGCUGGGCUGACACUGACGCUGAGGCGCGAAAGCUAGGGGAGCGAACGGG
Molecule: ribosomal RNA, 253 nt
Filed under: uncultured bacterium
Lineage: Bacteria
Description: partial 16S ribosomal RNA
Rfam family: Bacterial small subunit ribosomal RNA
Source: RNAcentral